RNAcentral lists this long non-coding RNA (2267 nucleotides) under Panthera leo (lion). RNAcentral's name for it is "lncRNA (ENSPLOG00000001736.1)". Lineage: Eukaryota; Metazoa; Chordata; Mammalia; Carnivora; Felidae. The record is from RNAcentral.
CUACUUUUCAACUUUGCCUUUCCUCCUUGAGAAUCUACUGAACUAGAAAUGUGUCCUGCUCACAGACUGCGGCUUACCAGAGCCUUUGACUCCUCAGGGGUGGAGCAAAUGAUUUCCUUCUUGGACAAGGGCAAUCUGUGGCCAGUGUACAAGAGUUGCCAUGGCAACCCUGCAGCUGCGCUCUGCCUAGCAGAGACUCGGAAUACAAUGAUGCCCUUCAGAGAGCUGAAAGAUUGUCUGUUGCACGAGAAAACUUCCUUCUGGGAAAAAACAAUCCUUCUAACUUAGUGACACAAGAAGACCUGACUAUUUACACAAAGUGGCUUGUGUGUCACCUACACUCGCUCAGGACUGUUCACCACUACCUACGGUCCCUCCAGUAUUUGCCCAUCUCCAAAGUGCUGAGUGUAGCUAUUGAUGAAUUUCCUGAGGCUUGUCAGGAGAAUGAAAAUGUAUGUGUUGAUGACAUCGACCCUAAUAUCCAGAGUUCUGGAUCUCUAGACCCUGUGGAUACUAGCAUUUCAGGGCUGACAAGAACAGAAGCUGCUUUCUCCCUGCCCCAACACAUGACUGAAAGAGAAGGACUGAAACCCCAGCUGAGGCUCCUGCUCUCCCAUUUUAAUAUCCCAUAUGACGUGGAAGAGCUAAGGGAUGCUACUAAGGAAAUGGAACUCUUUAACCUGGUACUUGAUGGACUCUUUCUUAAUACGAAGAUAGGUGUUCGUGAAAGAAAACACUACUGUUUGCCACAAAGUUGGAUAUUUAUGCUGCCUCAAUUGUUUCUAGAGUGAUAAAAUUUAAUUGUAAUAGGUGAGAUUUAGAUUAGCACUUGAACUUCCCCUCUGUAAGAGUACUGGGUCUCUUGAAUAUACAACACAGAGGGAUCACAGGAUUUAUUUUUCUGUAGAAUUUGAAGAAAGAGUAGUUUAUAGUCCAUAGUAGAUGGUAUAAAAGUAGCCAAGACUUGGAAGAUAAUGGAGAAGACAACUAGAUAAUGGAGUUGUCUAGUGUCUUGAGCCCUUCGAUUCUCGGAAUGUGUUGUAGUAGCUCUCCUAUUGGCAAAAAUUCUUUAAAUUCAAUAGAGUUUUAUAUUAUGUAGUGAUUUUUUAAAGUCAUGCAGUCUGCUGAACUAUAACACAGUGUUGCACUUCCUUUAAAAAAAACUCGUAUUAAUAGAAACCAUGUUAAAACUCAUUUCAAAGGGAAAAAUAAAAUUAUGUAUGGAUAGCUUUAAAUUUAGAAUAUAAAGUUUUCAGCCAAAGCAUCAACAAUAAAGAUAUUACUUUAGGUCUGGGCGUGGAAUUUUGCAAGCAUAUGUAUUCGCUAGGGAAAAAUAGUAAAUUGAUUGAUCCAAACAGGCAAAACUAAAAUCUGAAUGUGUUUGAAUGCUCUUUGUGUAAGAAGGAGCCACUGUCCUCCCUGUCACCAUUUGCCAUGACAUUCAACUUUCACUUCCAUGUGUGCUUGUUCCAGCAUGAUUUUACUAGGAUUAUUUCUACUAAUAUGUAACAUGGUCUCUUUAUGCUUCCUGAAACCGGUGGUAUCACAUGUCCUCUGGUUUCUUUGAAGGUGAUGAUGUUUCAGCUCUUGCCUUUCUUUGCAGCAGAGCACUUCUAGGGAGUACCUUACCCUCAUUGUCAGCAAGCAUUGUGAUAAACAAAAACUGGAAUUGGAAUAAGACGGUGUUUUUAAAAGAGUCAAAAUAAACAAAAAUAAAUGAUAACACAGUAGCUAUCAUCAAUGAUAACAAACAAACAAACCAACCAACCCAUGAAGCUGCUGAGCAAACUUGUUCCAAAAGAACAGCUUGUUUCCUUUACAUAGCAAUACUUUCCACUUCUGAUUAUUUUGAACGUUUUUUUAAAUUUAUUUUUGAGAGAGACCAAGUGUGAGCAGGGGAGGGGCAGAGAAAGAGAGAGACAGAAUCUGAAGUAGGUUCCAGGCUCUGAGCUGUCAGCACAGAGCCAGAUGCGGGGCCUUAAACUCGUGAACCACAAGAUGAUGACCUGAGCUGAAGUCAGAUGCUUAACCGACUGAGCCACCCAGGCUCCCCCUCCACUUCUGAUUUUCUUGUAACAGUGUUAUGUGCAGUGCUUGUGCUCACAAGAUAAUCAAUCACAUUACAACAAUUUUUUGUGUGUGUAGGAAGAGUUCUUAUAUUUGGGUACUGUUUAUUCUGGUUCUCUAAUUCCUUAGAGCAGAGUCAGCAAAUGACAGCUGCAGGCCACCACCUGUUUUGUUUUCUUUUUUAAUAAAGUUUUAUUGGA